GCCGUUGUGGCUCAGUGGUAGAGCAGCUUCUUGGUAAGAAGCAGGUCGUGAGUUCGAUUCUCACCAACGGCUCCA
This 75-nucleotide transfer RNA is filed under the name Minisyncoccota bacterium. RNAcentral's name for it is "tRNA-Thr". It matches the Rfam family "tRNA". Rfam says of the family: Transfer RNA (tRNA) molecules are approximately 80 nucleotides in length. The record is from RNAcentral. Lineage: Bacteria; Bacillati; Minisyncoccota.